GGUGGUUCUCGAGUAGCAUACCCUGGAAUCGGGCUCCCUCCUCUCUGGUUCCGGGUGUGCCACCUGAGAACUGCA
Molecule: non-coding RNA, 75 nt
Organism: Myotis brandtii (Brandt's bat)
Lineage: Eukaryota; Metazoa; Chordata; Mammalia; Chiroptera; Vespertilionidae
Source: Rfam